CCUUAUGUCAAUCAAAUUUGACUUAACAUAAAAGUCCAACACGAAAAAAUAUGCAUUCAAUAAAUAAUACUGAAACCUAGAUUAAAACUAAGAUAAUUUACAAAAUGUAAUAAAAAACUAGAGAGAGGAUUAUCAGACUUACAGACAAGGACUAUAGCUAGUAUCAAAAUGGAUCCAGAUGAAGGCGUGGAUGAUGUGAUAGAUCUGACAGAUACAUCUGAUUCAGACUCCUACCACGACAGAGUAUUUGAAGCUCAUACACCAUUAGUGCUUGAACUGCACGAUAUAAGAAAAGACGAUCCAUUGCCUACUGAUACUACCCCACCACCAGUACCACCACCACCGGCUGGAAAGAUAAAGAAGCAAAAGAGGAAAAAGAAAGAGACACAACAUAGAAACGCUAGUUACUCUAGUCUGUCUAGUGAGAACUUGUCGGAUGCUAGCUCCGUGGCGCCACCUCCCGAGACGAAGGAGAAGUUCUAUGAUGCCCGUGAAAGUUAUCAUGGUAUAGCACCAAAUCAAGCACCAACAGUAACAGCAGCAGCUGCAGUACCACAAACGCAUUCCGUCACUCACUCCGUAACGCAUUCCAUUGAAGCUGCCCAGGACCCGAAGACUGCACAACCGGCAUCAUCUCUACAGCAAACCACUACUACUGCUCCCACUGAAGAAAGAACAGAACCAUCUCCUAUUAGUAAACCAAACUUACCGCAGGAAUGAGUCGUUUUUGCGCUGGUUACACGUCAAAAACAUUAUAUUACAAUUUUAAGUCUUUGACUGCCAAUAGAAAACUGAUGAAGAAACUUCUCCAACUUAUAAUGUGAUUAUGCCAAGUCAUUGUAUAAGAAGUCACCGUUUAUUACAAUGAUACCUUCUUCUAAAUAACAUAAUAAACAUCAUAUUCCACA
This is an RNA transcript of Spodoptera frugiperda (fall armyworm), 908 nucleotides long. RefSeq lists it as uncharacterized. The transcript has 6 exons. The record is from RefSeq and is a predicted model, not a curated record. NCBI's taxonomy places the organism in Eukaryota, Metazoa, Arthropoda, Insecta, Lepidoptera, Noctuidae.